Molecule: long non-coding RNA, 205 nt
Filed under: Homo sapiens (human)
Lineage: Eukaryota; Metazoa; Chordata; Mammalia; Primates; Hominidae
Description: HSALNT0155836
Source: RNAcentral
UGGCCUGGCAUGGAGGGUGAGAGGCGGCAGAGAGAGAUCCAUACCUUCUCUCUCUGCUGCCCGUCCUCCUCCAUGGCAGGACUGAGGUUCUGGGCCCUGUCUGUCUGCCUUGGCUGGAUCUCUAAGCCUAACUGUGCUACAAAGUGAGUGAGCAGAACCUAGCCAGAGGCAGCCACUUGCCUGGGCUGGAAAGAGAAGACAAGAG